Long non-coding RNA from Sinocyclocheilus grahami, 418 nucleotides. RefSeq lists it as uncharacterized. NCBI's taxonomy places the organism in Eukaryota, Metazoa, Chordata, Actinopteri, Cypriniformes, Cyprinidae. The record is from RefSeq and is a predicted model, not a curated record. The transcript is spliced from 3 exons.
GACUCUUGUCAAUGGCAAACAGUGGACCUGGAACAAAUGGCUGUCAGUUUUUUAUUACCUGCACAAAGUGUGAUUGGUUGGAUGGGAAGCACGUGGUAUUUGGAAAAGUGGUGGAUGGUUUGCUUGUCAUGAGAAAAAUUGAGGUAAGACAUUAUUUUUCAAGUUUUGUACAUUUCAGAUGUUCUCAAGUGUCAGUUCUUUCAGAGCAAUUUAUUAUUGAUCCUAUUGAUGAUUGAUCCAUUAACUUGGGUGGCAAGUUGGAGAUCUGCCAUGCUUAAAGCAUAUGAAGAAAUGUUUGUCAACAUCUACGUAAGAGUCUGAGAGAAUUCCUUAUGAUGAGAUGGAAUUCUCAGACUUUUCAGUAUUGGUUUCUUUGAAAGAUCAACUACUAAAACAUCAUGAAAAUGUUGAAGAAACA